Molecule: transfer RNA, 76 nt
Filed under: Lentisphaerae bacterium GWF2_44_16
Lineage: Bacteria; Pseudomonadati; Lentisphaerota
Description: tRNA-Thr
Rfam family: tRNA
About the family: Transfer RNA (tRNA) molecules are approximately 80 nucleotides in length. Their secondary structure includes four short double-helical elements and three loops (D, anti-codon, and T loops). Further hydrogen bonds mediate the characteristic L-shaped molecular structure. tRNAs have two regions of fundamental functional importance: the anti-codon, which is responsible for specific mRNA codon recognition, and the 3' end, to which the tRNAs corresponding amino acid is attached (by aminoacyl-tRNA synthetases). tRNAs cope with the degeneracy of the genetic code in two manners: having more than one tRNA (with a specific anti-codon) for a particular amino acid; and 'wobble' base-pairing, i.e. permitting non-standard base-pairing at the 3rd anti-codon position.
Source: RNAcentral
GCCCACAUAGCUCAGUUGGUAGAGCACGUCCUUGGUAAGGACGAGGUCACCGGUUCAAAUCCGGUUGUGGGCUCCA